UUAAAUGUACAUGGGCUGGGGAGAACCACACGAGCGUGUGACACGACCAUGUGGCCCAACACGGGACCUUACACGACCGUGUCACCCUUAAAAACCCUAGCUCACUUUUUUUUAUCUUUAUUUUGUCUUCUUCCCCAACUUCCCUAUCAACCCUAGCCACCGCCGUUCCCUUACCCUUCCCCCUCACCUUUCCCUCACCUAAGUCGCCCCUUCCACUCAACCACGCCCUCUCUCUCUUCUCCCUUUCUUUCACCACUGUUAUCCCUUCCCUCGUCAAGCCUUCUCCGUUUCUCUUCCUCUAUUGACAGCCCACGCCCUCUAACCACUGACCACGCACAACCCGACCUUUUUCCUUUCCCCAAUAGGCCCCUUCCCUUUCUUCCCUUCUCCUUUCCUCCCCCUCAAAUCGCAAACUACCCCCGCGUUACAACCUCCACCCUUCCCCAGCCUCAUCACACACCACCACGCUUGUCGACUGCUGCGUCUUCGUACCCACUACUGCCCCACCGUCGGUUCCCCCUUUUGCCCUUCCCUUUUAUUUAUUUAUUUAUCUUUUAUUAUUUUGUUUAUUUGUUUUUAUUUUAUUUUAUUUUGGUAGUUAUCAUUUUUUAUUAUUAUACUUAUCAUUUUUUGGCAUUAAGCAGUAGUAUGCAUUUAUUUAUUUUAGUUGAUUUUAUUUUUGAUUUUACCAUUGUUUUUGUGUUAUGUUUCCUUUUCUUUUUUCUUAUGUCAUUAUUCUUUUGCGUUCCACUAUUCUUGCUAUUCUUGAUUAUUCAUUUUUAUUAUUUUUCAUUAUUAGUUUCAUUAAUUCUUGCUAUGUUUUUGUUUGAUAUUAGCAUUCUGCUUACUAGUUUUAUUAUGUUCAAAGUUAAUUUCUUUAUUAGUCCAAUUGU
Molecule: long non-coding RNA, 893 nt
Filed under: Gossypium raimondii (Peruvian cotton)
Lineage: Eukaryota; Viridiplantae; Streptophyta; Magnoliopsida; Malvales; Malvaceae
Description: long non-coding RNA (GRAI_LNC001779)
Source: RNAcentral